This 262-nucleotide ribosomal RNA is filed under the name uncultured Latescibacterota bacterium. RNAcentral's name for it is "uncultured Latescibacteria bacterium partial 16S ribosomal RNA". It matches the Rfam family "Bacterial small subunit ribosomal RNA", at positions 1121 to 1382 of the family's 1533-position model. Lineage: Bacteria; Pseudomonadati; Candidatus Latescibacterota. The record is from RNAcentral.
UCAGGUAAAGCUGGGAACUCUGGGGAGACGUGCCGGUGAUAAACCGGAGGAAGCGGGGAUGACGUCAAGUCCUCAUGGCCCUUACAUCCCGGGCUACACACGUGCUACAAUGGCAGGUACAGAGGGCUGCGAAGCCGCGAGGUGGAGCGAAUCCCAGAAAACCUGUCUCAGUCCGGAUUGAAGUCUGCAACUCGACUUCAUGAAGGCGGAAUCGCUAGUAACCGCGAAUCAGCAGGUCGCGGUGAAUACGUUCCCGGGCCUU